This 73-nucleotide transfer RNA is filed under the name Lactococcus garvieae ATCC 49156. RNAcentral describes it as "tRNA-Asp (GTC) (tRNA-Asp-GTC-2-1)". It matches the Rfam family "tRNA". From Rfam's summary of the family: Transfer RNA (tRNA) molecules are approximately 80 nucleotides in length. Lineage: Bacteria; Bacillati; Bacillota; Bacilli; Lactobacillales; Streptococcaceae. The record is from RNAcentral.
GGUUCCGUAGUGUAACGGUUAUCACGUCGCCCUGUCACGGCGAAGAUCGCGGGUUCGAUUCCCGUCGGAACCG